UACAUUGUUAGAGCUUAGCAUUGAGGCCCCUGACUAGCUGAUGAACUCAGUAAUAUAGAUAUACAUUACACCAGGGGCAAGGUCUUGGCUAACACUGUAUGUUUCAAUGAAUUGAGUUUGAUAAUACUCCUUGCUACAAUA
RNAcentral lists this small nucleolar RNA (141 nucleotides) under Erinaceus europaeus (western European hedgehog). The record is from RNAcentral. Lineage: Eukaryota; Metazoa; Chordata; Mammalia; Eulipotyphla; Erinaceidae.